UACGAGGGGUCCUAGCGUUGUUCGGAAUCACUGGGCGUAAAGCGCAUGUAGGUGGCUUGAUAAGUCAGGUGUGAAAGCCCCGGGCUCAACCCGGGAAGUGCAUUUGAUACUGUCGAGCUUGAAUAUGGGAGAGGGUAGUAGAAUUCCUGGUGUAGUGGUGAAAUACGUAGAUAUCAGGAGGAAUACCGGUGGCGAAGGCGGCUACCUGGCCCAAUAUUGACACUUAGAUGCGAAAGCGUGGGGAUCAAACAGG
This 253-nucleotide ribosomal RNA is filed under the name uncultured bacterium. Its description in RNAcentral is "partial 16S ribosomal RNA". It matches the Rfam family "Bacterial small subunit ribosomal RNA", at positions 524 to 776 of the family's 1533-position model. The record is from RNAcentral.